This is a non-coding RNA of Plectropomus leopardus (leopard coralgrouper), 384 nucleotides long. Lineage: Eukaryota; Metazoa; Chordata; Actinopteri; Perciformes; Serranidae. The record is from RefSeq and is a predicted model, not a curated record.
AGUAAAUUUAGCAGGAGAAGAAUUUUCAAGUAGUCAAUAUUAGUAUUAGAUUUCUAAAAGAUAUAUGGUAUUACCCUUCUGCAGACACAAACAGACAUGUACCACUGCAUGUCAAGGUGAAACUGAGCCUCUUUCUGAGUUCCUCGAGCAUCAGCCUCUGUGGUGCUGGGAAGUGGCUGUGCUCUCACAACAGGCAUGACUUCCUCGUGCUGCACACACAAGGAAAAAGAAGCAAAAAUAUAUAAUUAACAGAAAAGCUACAGUGUCGACACACACUUCUCCAGCAGCUUGGAACGAUUCCUGAUGACACUCCAGCUGAUAUUUGAGCAACCCACUGGGACCUAAGCCAUCUUCUGUGACCUGAAACAAUCCAUAAUGACCUCU